AUUGAAUGCUGGCGGCAGGCUUAACACAUGCAAGUCGAGCGGGGUGAUGGUGCUUGCACUAUCACUUAGCGGCGGACGGGUGAGUAAUGCUUAGGAAUCUGCCUAUUAGUGGGGGACAACAUCUCGAAAGGGAUGCUAAUACCGCAUACGUCCUACGGGAGAAGGCAGGGGAUCACUUGUGACCUUGCGCUAAUAGAUGAGCCUAAGUCGGAUUAGCUAGGUGGUGGGGUAAAGGCCUACCAAGGCGACGAUCUGUAGCGGGUCUGAGAGGAUGAUCCGCCACACUGGGACUGAGACACGGCCCAGACUCCUACGGGAGGCAGCAGUGGGGAAUAUUGGACAAUGGGGGGAACCCUGAUCCAGCCAUGCCGCGUGUGUGAAGAAGGCCUUAUGGUUGUAAAGCACUUUAAGCGAGGAGGAGGCUCUUUUGGUUAAUACCCAAGAUGAGUGGACGUUACUCGCAGAAUAAGCACCGGCUAACUCUGUGCCAGCCGCCGCGGUAA
Molecule: ribosomal RNA, 503 nt
Filed under: uncultured bacterium
Lineage: Bacteria
Description: partial 16S ribosomal RNA
Rfam family: Bacterial small subunit ribosomal RNA
Source: RNAcentral